ACUCAAAGGAAUAGACGGGGGCCCGCACAAGCGGUGGAUUAUGUGGUUUAAUUCGAAGCAACGCGCAAAACCUUACCUGGGCUUGAACUCCUGCAAAUCUGUUAGAGAUAAUAGAGUGCCGCAAGGAAUGUAGAGAGAGGCGCUGCAUGGCUGUCGUCAGCUCGUGUCGUGAAAUGUUGGGUUAAGUCUCGCAACGAGCGCAACCCCUAUCCUUAGUUGCCAGCAUUAAGUUGGGCACUCUAGGGAAACUGCCUGGGUUAACCAGGAGGAAGGUGGGGAUGACGUCAAGUCCUCAUGGCCCUUAUGUCCAGGGCUACACACGUAAUACAAUGGCCAGUACAAAGGGAUGCAAGACUGCGAAGUCAAGCAAAGCUCAAAAAACUGGUCUCAGUCCGGAUUGGAGUCUGCAAUUCGACUCCAUGAAGUUGGAAUCGCUAGUAAUCGCGGAUCAGCACGCCGCGGUGAAUACGUUCUCGGGCCUUGUACACACCGCCCGU
This 497-nucleotide ribosomal RNA is filed under the name uncultured bacterium. Its description in RNAcentral is "bacterial SSU rRNA". It matches the Rfam family "Bacterial small subunit ribosomal RNA", at positions 899 to 1397 of the family's 1533-position model. The record is from RNAcentral.